GAAACUUUAUUUUCAAAUUCUUAAAACAAGGAAAGAGGCAGGGAGGAAGGGAAGGGAGGAAAACAAGGACAGAUGGAAGGGAGGAAGGGAAGGGAGGAAAACAAGGACAGACGGAAGGAAGGGAGGGAAGGAGGAGGGAAGAAGGAGGGAAGGAAGGGGAGCGGGAACAAGGCAGGCGGACGCAAGGAGGGAAGGAGUGUGCGUCUUCUUCGCAUGCUCCGCAGCAGCGAG
RNAcentral lists this long non-coding RNA (231 nucleotides) under Pan troglodytes (chimpanzee). Its description in RNAcentral is "long non-coding RNA NONPTRT010994". The record is from RNAcentral. Lineage: Eukaryota; Metazoa; Chordata; Mammalia; Primates; Hominidae.